Molecule: ribosomal RNA, 255 nt
Filed under: uncultured bacterium
Lineage: Bacteria
Description: partial 16S ribosomal RNA
Rfam family: Bacterial small subunit ribosomal RNA
Source: RNAcentral
UACGGGGGGGGCGAGUGUUAUUCGUAAUGAUUGGGCGUAAAGGGUUUUUAGGCGAUUUAUUAAGUUAUUAAUAAAAUAUCAAAUUUCAAGUUUGAUUUAAGUUUUAAUACUAAUUAAAUUGAGUAUAAUAUAAGAUUGCGGAACUCUCGAUGUAGGGGUAAAAUCCUUAGAUAUCUAUGGGGACCAUCAAUAGGUGAAGACGGCAAUCUCGUUUAUUACUGACGCUGAAAGACUAAAGCAUGGGUAGCAAACAGG